RNAcentral lists this ribosomal RNA (468 nucleotides) under uncultured bacterium. RNAcentral's name for it is "partial 16S ribosomal RNA". It matches the Rfam family "Bacterial small subunit ribosomal RNA", at positions 28 to 507 of the family's 1533-position model. The record is from RNAcentral.
GACGAACGCUGGCGGCGUGCUUAACACAUGCAAGUCGAACGGAAAGGCCCUGCUUUUGUGGGGUGCUCGAGUUGCGAACGGGUGAGUAACACGUGAGUAACCUGCCCUUGACUUUGGGAUAACUUCAGGAAACUUGGUCUAAUCCCGGAUAGGAGCUCCUGCUGCAUGGUGGGGGUUGGAAAGUUUCGGCGGUUGGGGAUGGACUCGCGGCUUAUCAGCUUGUUGGUGGGGUAGUGGCUUACCAAGGCUUUGACGGGUAGCCGGCCUGAGAGGGUGACCGGCCACAUUGGGACUGAGAUAAGGCCCAGACUACUACGGGAGGCAGAAGUGGGGAAUAUUGCACAAUGGGCGGAAGCAUGAUGCAGCAACGCAGCGUGCGGGAUGACGGCCUUCGGGUUGUAAACCGCUUUCGCCUGUGACGAAGCGUGAGUGACGGUAAUGGGUAAAGAAGCACCGGCUAACUACGUG